RNAcentral lists this ribosomal RNA (1956 nucleotides) under human gut metagenome. Its description in RNAcentral is "bacterial LSU rRNA". It matches the Rfam family "Bacterial large subunit ribosomal RNA", at positions 3 to 1984 of the family's 2925-position model. The record is from RNAcentral.
UUAAGUUAAUAAGGGCGCACGGUGGAUGCCUUGGCACUAGAAGCCGAUGAAGGACGUGACUAACGACGAAAUGCUUUGGGGAGCUGUAAGUGAGCAAUGAUCCAGAGAUGUCCGAAUGGGGGAACCCGGCAGGUAAUGCCUGUCACUCAUUACUGUUAAGGUAAUGUAGAGGAAGACGCAGUGAACUGAAACAUCUAAGUAGCUGCAGGAAGAGAAAGCAAAAGCGAUUGCCUUAGUAGCGGCGAGCGAAACGGCAAGAGGGCAAACCGAAGAGUUUACUCUUCGGGGUUGUAGGACUGCAACGUGGACUUAAAGAUUAUAGAAGAACUACCUGGGAAGGUAGGCCAAAGAGAGUAAUAGCCUCGUAUUCGAAAUAGUCUUUAUACCUAGCAGUAUCCUGAGUACGGCGAGACACGAGAAAUCUCGUCGGAAUCUGGGAGGACCAUCUCCCAACCCUAAAUACUCUCUAGUGACCGAUAGUGAACCAGUACCGUGAGGGAAAGGUGAAAAGCACCCCGGGAGGGGAGUGAAAUAGAACCUGAAACCGUGUGCCUACAACAAGUUCGAGCCCGUUAAUGGGUGAGAGCGUGCCUUUUGUAGAAUGAACCGGCGAGUUACGAUAUGAUGCGAGGUUAAGUUGAAGAGACGGAGCCGUAGGGAAACCGAGUCUUAAUAGGGCGCAUUAGUAUCAUGUCGUAGACCCGAAACCAUGUGACCUACCCAUGAGCAGGUUGAAGGUGAGGUAAAACUCACUGGAGGACCGAACCAGGGCACGUUGAAAAGUGCUUGGAUGACUUGUGGGUAGCGGAGAAAUUCCAAACGAACUUGGAGAUAGCUGGUUCUCUCCGAAAUAGCUUUAGGGCUAGCGUCGAUGUUAAGUCUCUUGGAGGUAGAGCACUGUUUGGGUGAGGGGUCCAUCCCGGAUUACCAAUCUCAGAUAAACUCCGAAUGCCAAUGAGAUAUAAUCGGCAGUCAGACUGCGAGUGCUAAGAUCCGUAGUCGAAAGGGAAACAGCCCAGACCACCAGCUAAGGUCCCAAAAUAUAUGUUAAGUGGAAAAGGAUGUGGGGUUGCACAGACAACUAGGAUGUUAGCUUAGAAGCAGCUAUUCAUUCAAAGAGUGCGUAAUAGCUCACUAGUCGAGUGACCCUGCGCCGAAAAUGUACCGGGGCUAAAACAUAUUACCGAAGCUGUGGAUACCUUUAUAGGUAUGGUAGGAGAGCGUUCUAUGUGCGAAGAAGGUGUACCGUGAGGAGUGCUGGAGCGCAUAGAAGUGAGAAUGCCGGUAUGAGUAGCGAAAGACAGGUGAGAAUCCUGUCCACCGUAAGACUAAGGUUUCCAGGGGAAGGCUCGUCCGCCCUGGGUUAGUCGGGACCUAAGGAGAGACCGAAAGGUGUAUCCGAUGGACAACAGGUUGAUAUUCCUGUACUAGAGUAUAUAGUGAUGGAGGGACGCAGUAGGCUAACUAAACCAGACGAUUGGAAGUGUCUGGCCAAGCAGUGAGGUGUGAUAUGAGUCAAAUGCUUAUAUCUUUAACAUUGAGCUGUGAUGGGGAGCGAAGUUUAGUAGCGAAGUUAGUGAUGUCACACUGCCGAGAAAAGCUUCUAGCGUUAAUUAUACUCUACCCGUACCGCAAACCGACACAGGUAGUCGAGGCGAGUAGCCUCAGGUGAGCGAGAGAACUCUCGUUAAGGAACUCGGCAAAAUGGCCCCGUAACUUCGGGAGAAGGGGCGCUGACUGAUGGUCAGCCGCAGUGAAUAGGCCCAAGCAACUGUUUAUCAAAAACACAGCUCUCUGCUAAAUCGUAAGAUGAUGUAUAGGGGGUGACGCCUGCCCGGUGCUGGAAGGUUAAGAGGAGUGCUUAGCAAUAGCGAAGGUAUGAAUUGAAGCCCCAGUAAACGGCGGCCGUAACUAUAACGGUCCUAAGGUAGCGAAAUUCCUUGUCGGGUAAGUUCC